GACAGAGGUCUCUAGCGUUAGGCGGAAUCACUGGGCUUAAAGCGUGUGUAGGCGGGCCGUUAAGUGCUUUGUGAAAUCCCAUGGCUCAACCAUGGAACUGCUUGGCAUACUGGCGGUCUUGGGCCAUCUAGGGGCUACUGGAACAAGCGGUGGAGCGGUGAAAUGCGUAGAUAUCGCUUGGAACGCCAACGGUGAAAACAGGUUGCUGGGGGUGUGCUGACGCUGAGAGACGAAAGCUAGGGGAGCAAAUGGG
Molecule: ribosomal RNA, 253 nt
Filed under: uncultured bacterium
Lineage: Bacteria
Description: partial 16S ribosomal RNA
Rfam family: Bacterial small subunit ribosomal RNA
Source: RNAcentral